AGCGAACGCUGGCGGCAGGCUUAACACAUGCAAGUCGAGCGGACCUUUCGGGGUCAGCGGCGGACGGGUGAGUAACGCGUGGGAACGUGCCUUCCGGUUCGGAAUAACCCUGGGAAACUAGGGCUAAUACCGGAUACGCCCUUAUGGGGAAAGGUUUACUGCCGGAAGAUCGGCCCGCGUCUGAUUAGCUAGUUGGUGGGGUAACGGCCUACCAAGGCGACGAUCAGUAGCUGGUCUGAGAGGAUGAUCAGCCACACUGGGACUGAGACACGGCCCAGACUCCUACGGGAGGCAGCAGUGGGGAAUAUUGGACAAUGGGCGCAAGCCUGAUCCAGCCAUGCCGCGUGAGUGGUGAAGGCCUUAGGGUUGUAAAGCUCUUUUAUCCGGGACGAUAAUGACGGUACCGGAGGAAUAAGCCCCGGCUAACUUCGUG
This 433-nucleotide ribosomal RNA is filed under the name uncultured bacterium. RNAcentral describes it as "partial 16S ribosomal RNA". It matches the Rfam family "Bacterial small subunit ribosomal RNA", at positions 29 to 507 of the family's 1533-position model. The record is from RNAcentral.